Molecule: ribosomal RNA, 568 nt
Filed under: Nitzschia sp. IriSm01
Lineage: Eukaryota; Bacillariophyta; Bacillariophyceae; Bacillariales; Bacillariaceae
Description: eukaryotic LSU rRNA
Rfam family: Eukaryotic large subunit ribosomal RNA
Source: RNAcentral
UAAUUAAGCGGAGGAAAAGAAACUAACCAGGAUUCCCCCAGUAAGGGCGACUGAAGCGGGAAGAGCUCAGGAUGUGAAUCAGUGCAUUGCAUUACGUUACGAUACGUUACGUUACGUUGCUUGGCACUGAAUUGUGGUCUGUAGACGGUGACACUAUCAGCCGGGCCAAGUCCCUUGGAACAGGGCAGCUGAGAGGGUGAGACUCCCGUUCGCCCGGCAGAGUGAGUCGCCUGUCAACGAGUCGAGUUGUUUGGGAUUGCAGCUCAAAGUGGGUGGUAAAUUCCAUCUAAAGCUAAAUAUUGGUGGGAGACCGAUAGCGUACAAGUACCGUGAGGGAAAGAUGCAAAGAACUUUGAAAAGAGAGUUAAAGAGUACCUGAAAUUGCUGAAAGGGAAGCGAAGGAAACCAGUGUUGGGCUGGUCAUAUUUCCCAGUCUGCUUGCAGUCUGGGCGCUGUGGCCAUCCAGAGUUGUUCUUGGUUGGCGCUGGUGGAAGGGCGCGGACAGAGUUGAUGUUCGUUGCCAGCACCGGCGGUGACUGAGGAGGACGAAAUGGUUUUCUUUACCCCG